AGAGUUUGAUCCUGGCUCAGAACGAACGCUGGCGGCGUGCUUAACACAUGCAAGUCGCGUGCGCGGUUCCGUAGCAAUACGGGAUGGGCGCACGGCGCACGGGUGCGUAACACGUGGGCAAUCUGCCCUCCGAUGGGGAAUAACCCCGCGAAAGCGGGGCUAAUACCACAUAACAUUCCUUGGACUAUGGUUUGAGGACUCAAAGCAGCAAUGCGUCGGAGGAGGAGCCCGCGCCCGAUUAGCUAGUUGGUGAGGUAACGGCUCACCAAGGCAAUGAUCGGUAGCUGGUCUGAGAGGAUGGCCAGCCACACUGGAACUGAGACACGGUCCAGACUCCUACGGGAGGCAGCAGUGGGGAAUCUUGCGCAAUGGGCGAAAGCCUGACGCAGCGACGCCGCGUGGGGGAUGAAGCUUCUCGGAGUGUAAACCCCUUUCGACUGGGACGAAUGCCCGCAAGGGAGUGACGGUACCAGUAGAAGAAGCCCCGGCUAACUACGUGCCAGCAGCCGCGGUAAGACGUAGGGGGCCAGCGUUGUUCGGAAUUACUGGGUGUAAAGGGUUCGUAGGCGGUGUGGCAAGUCGGGAGUGAAAUCUCUGGGCUUAACUCAGAGGCUGCUUCCGAAACUGCUGUGCUUGAGUGUGGGAGAGGCGCGUGGAAUUGCAGGUGUAGCGGUGAAAUGCGUAGAUAUCUGCAGGAACACCCGUGGCGAAAGCGGCGCGCUGGACCACAACUGACGCUGAGGAACGAAAGCUAGGGGAGCAAACAGGAUUAGAUACCCUGGUAGUCCUAGCCCUAAACGAUCAGGACUUGGGGUGGCGCCCGUUCGGGCGUCGUCCCGGAGCUAACGCGUUAAGUCCUGCACCUGGGGAGUACGGUCGCAGACUGAAACUCAAGGAAUUGACGGGGGCCCGCACAGCGGUGGAACAUGUGGUUCAAUUCGACGCUACGCGAGGAACCUUACCUGGGCUCGAAAUGCUUCGGA
This 983-nucleotide ribosomal RNA is filed under the name uncultured bacterium. RNAcentral describes it as "bacterial SSU rRNA". It matches the Rfam family "Bacterial small subunit ribosomal RNA", at positions 8 to 995 of the family's 1533-position model. The record is from RNAcentral.